UACGUAGGGUGCGAGCGUUAAUCGGAAUUACUGGGCGUAAAGCGUGCGCAGGCGGUCUGUUAAGACCGAUGUGAAAUCCCCGGGCUUAACCUGGGAACUGCAUUGGUGACUGGCAGGCUUUGAGUGUGGCAGAGGGAGGUAGAAUUCCACGUGUAGCAGUGAAAUGCGUAGAGAUGUGGAGGAAUACCGAUGGCGAAGGCAGCCUCCUGGGCCAACACUGACGCUCAUGCACGAAAGCGUGGGGAGCAACAGGG
Molecule: ribosomal RNA, 254 nt
Filed under: uncultured bacterium
Lineage: Bacteria
Description: partial 16S ribosomal RNA
Rfam family: Bacterial small subunit ribosomal RNA
Source: RNAcentral